RNAcentral lists this ribosomal RNA (350 nucleotides) under uncultured bacterium. Its description in RNAcentral is "bacterial SSU rRNA". It matches the Rfam family "Bacterial small subunit ribosomal RNA", at positions 43 to 377 of the family's 1533-position model. The record is from RNAcentral.
GGCCGCGGGAAUUCGAUUCAGGCCUAACACAUGCAAGUCGAGCGGAUGAAGAGAGCUUGCUCUCUGAUAAAGCGGCGGACGGGUGAGUAAUGCCUAGGAAUCUGCCUGGUAGUGGGGGAUAACGUUCCGAAAGGAACGCUAAUACCGCAUACGUCCUACGGGAGAAAGCAGGGGACCUUCGGGCCUUGCGCUAUCAGAUGAGCCUAGGUCGGAUUAGCUAGUUGGUGGGGUAAAGGCUCACCAAGGCGACGAUCCGUAACUGGUCUGAGAGGACGAUCAGUCACACUGGAAGGGAGACACGGUCCAGACUCCUACGGGAGGCAGCAGUGGGGAAUAUUGGACAAUGGGCG